This 2544-nucleotide ribosomal RNA is filed under the name Triticum aestivum (bread wheat). Its description in RNAcentral is "partial small subunit ribosomal RNA". Lineage: Eukaryota; Viridiplantae; Streptophyta; Magnoliopsida; Poales; Poaceae. The record is from RNAcentral.
AUGGCGUCAUCCGAUGAAGCUGGCGACGACAAUUAUGGAUACAAAAGGGGGGAGAAAGAAUACAUGUUGGAGACCGUGCAAUGCUUGCUAUUUGCUAGAGACAACCUCCCCAGCGACGUGUACCGCAAGUUCGUCAAGGCCAUGACCGAGGUUUGGAAAAACUGUGCUGACCCGGAUGGUGAAAUAAGGAACAUCUGCCCUGAAAACUGCAUAGAGACGGCGUUGAAGCUAUUUCAGGGUUGGGCUACAGUUAAACAGAGCUUCCUUAACUUCACUGAAGGCCGUAGCCCCGUCAAAGGCAAUGGCAUUGUCGAUGCUGAUGUCGAAGCCGUUGUUGUCAACCCCUUGCUACAGAAACCAAUAGAUUUUCUUUCCAGACUGAAGGCAUGCCCUAACAUGAGCGCUGAUCAUUAUGCCGCUUUUUUGAAAAUCAUGCAAGAUUAUUUCAGGGACAGGACCAUGACCCCUCGAAAAGUUUACAAGAAGGUGAGGAGAUGCAUGCGUGACUGUCCUGAGUUGUUGGAAGAGUUUGUGGAUAAUUUUCUCCCUGCAGACCUGAAGGCCUUUGUAAAGGUUAAAGCAAAUGAUAAUCACCGCUCGGGUGGUAUCCAUAUGAAAGAAGGUUACGGAGAAUUGUCUCACACCGAAGAGGAUGAGGAAGACAAGGUUAAACCCUUGCCAGACUGGAAUUCCUCAAAAGCUCAGGAAUUGCCCCCAGAAGUUGAUCCCAAGAAGCUCGAACGAGCUUGCACUCCUAGCUAUUACCUGCUGCCAGAUAAUUUAACUCUUCAUUCAAGUUAUUGGACCAAUCUGGGGAGGUCUAUUCUCAACGAUACUUUGGUUUGUUCUAUAUCUGGGAUGGAAAGCUCUAAGCACAAAACUAUAAAUGGUUAUGAGACAAACAUUUUCUACUGUGAAGAAGACAUGUUUGAGAGUGACAUGCUAUUACACCGGUUUCGUGCGACUGCUGACCUUAUUGCCAAUCUCCAAACUCGUGCUGGCAGCCAUUUGAAGAUAAGCGAGCAUUUAACUCCUCUACACCGGAGGUGCAUUGAAAAACUAUAUGAUGAUGAUCUUGAUCUUGAUGAUCUGUUGGAGAGUCCGAAUACUAGUUCUGUUCUUGCUGUUCUACUUUCUCGUUUAAAGCAGAAGGUAGAAGAUUUAUCGGAGGCGCGCUCAUAUUUGCAUAAGGCGCACUCACAAGUUAUUGCCAAAAAUUACUACAGAUCGCUUGAUCAUCGUGGCCUCUCUUUCAAACAAUUGGAUGCAAAGAGGAUGAGCCAAAAAGCAUUGCUGGCGGAAGCAAAUGAGAUCAAUAAAAAGAAUUUGAAAGCUAGAGAUAAAAAUGCUGAUACAGACAUGUCGAAUGCUGGAGAUAAAUAUGCUGCUGAUACAGCCAUGUCAAAUGCUGGAGAUAAAUAUGCUGAUACAGACACGUCGAAUGCUGGAGAUAAAUAUGCUGAUACAGACAUGCACAAGGACAUAAGCAGUAUACUAUCCGCUGCAUGUGCCUCUGAAGAGAAGCAGGUGAUGAAUUGGGCGAAAAUAGUACAUCCAUUUCUUUCUGCUCAUUGUCUAUGGCCUUCAUCUAAGGAAACUGUAGCUCCCGCAAAAGCUUGUGAACAUUGCCGCACCAGCAAAGAUUUUCUCAGUAGCAUACCUGAUGCUUUGCCUGCUACUAAGCUUUCUUCAUCUUCCAAGAGGGGGGAAUUCCUAAAGAAAAAUUCUAACGACUUGAGCUCUUCACACGAUGGUUUUGGCCAAGACAUUGAUCAGGAGAGUGAUUUAAUGCCCGAACCAGAAAUCAUUGAGUCGGAUGUCAUGCUUGGUGCCAGAAAAGAACCAGUAAGUUGUGAUGUUGGCACUUCCGGUAUAGAUGGGUUGAGCUCUGGUUGUCGUAUAAUCGAUACUGCUGAACCUAGUACUCGUGACCAUGGAAACAAACAUGAGAAGCAGCAUGAAUCAAGUCAACACUCCAAAACAUCAGCUAAACUGCGUGGUGUGAAAGGAGGCACUUGUUGUUUUCUCAUUGUGCUUCGCAGGCUUUACCAGAUUUUAUAUGACAGACUACAAACUGCGAGAGGUUUAUGCGCCGAUGAUCUAUUAUAUGCAGAGUUUAAGGAUAAAAUAAUCAAGCUACAUGCCCAUUGUAUUGAUAAUUCCAGUUUUGAAGACUUCUGCCUGCAAUUUCUUGGGCCAAAGUCAGUUGAACUUUUUACUCUGGAUAUAGUGAUAAACCGAGUUAUCAAGCAGUUGUGCAUAAUUUAUUCAAGAGAUCAAGACAACUCGCUCUUUCAAUUCCUUGAGAACUUUGGAAGACCAGUUCUACCCAAACUUGUGUCCCGGCAUCAAAACUUUCCCAACAAUCCAUCAAAUGUUUUACCGAAGUAUGAUCAAGAGGAGCAAGAGAAAGCUCUUGCCGAUACCGAAAAACUUCCGCGCCAUUUUGAGAGAAGGAAAAAACGCAAGUUGGAGAACAGUGCAACGAUUUCCUCAGCUUGGAGUUCCUCCCAGCUUGGAGCAGUGACUGAAACUCAUGGUUGA